This is a long non-coding RNA of Spinacia oleracea (spinach), 1772 nucleotides long. RefSeq lists it as uncharacterized. The transcript is spliced from 5 exons. NCBI's taxonomy places the organism in Eukaryota, Viridiplantae, Streptophyta, Magnoliopsida, Caryophyllales, Amaranthaceae. The record is from RefSeq and is a predicted model, not a curated record.
AAAAAAAUUAUUAUCGUCCUUCUCCAACCUUCAACUCUCUCUUCCAAUCUUUGCAUCAGAAAUUCCACACUUAAUUAAUUCAUCAAUUCAAGCAUCAAUUACAUUCAAGAUUACAACCUAUAUGAAAUUACGACUUUAAUUUGUUGAUCGAUUUCGUAGCUUCGUUUCAUCUCCACAAUUCUCUCCUCUUCGCUGCUCAUCAUCAGCUAUGGCGUUCACUUGGAAUCGUCUCCAUAGAUGUUUGGGUCCUAUGUCGUCGUUGAUGUUAAUUCGAAAUUGGAUUUACCCAAUUCUUUUUCUGGGUUCGAGGUUCCGAUUUAUGAACAAAUCCAGCCAAAUUGGGUUUCACGAAUUCAUUCAAACAAUCGCAAAUCCAAGAUUGUUGAAGUGGCCGGCGUGAAAAUUGAACAUCAAAGUAUUAUUUGAUUUAUUCUGCAAAUUUGGUUUGAAAUUGAGUCGAAAAUUAUCUAUGGCAGAUCCGUCCUUCAACAGCACUUUCCAGCCUAAUGUUAACAGAAAUGACGUGUUGUGACAUUGAUCAAAGUGGACUCCCUACCAGUUUCGAUUCUAAUUAGGGAAACUACCAGUUGGGAUCUUCAAGUGGAACAAAAAUUUACAGGAACUUGAAUAUUGCAGAAGUCGAGGAAUUUCAAAAAGGCGUAUGAAAAUAUUAAUACAUACAAAGUGUGGCAAAGUUGUGAAACAUAUAAUAAUUAUUUCUUAAUUACAGUGUAGGAGAAUUUAUUUCUGAAGUUACACAAUUUGAAAUACCACAACCAGAAAGCAAAAUGGAGAUAAUGAGCAAAAAUCGCAAAACCAUAGAAGAACGUCAACAACUUUAUUUGGAACAAGAAGAUAAGAGCAACUCCAAUGGUUGGAAAAUAGACCUGCUCACAAAUAAAAAGAAUAUAUGAGCAGGUAGCCCACCGUUGUUGCAAUAAUGACAUCAGCAGCUACUAAAACAUUGUAGCUAUUUUGGGCAGGUAGCUCAAAAAAUAAAAGGGGAAAUAUAUGAAUUAAAUAUUAUAGGAGUUACAAGAGAUUGUAGCCCACCAAUGUGAAAGUUUAUAGCUUAAAUUAAUUGCAGCUAGAAAUAUGAUGUGGCUAAUUUAGCUACAUCACCUUGUAGCCCACCAUUGGAGUUGCUCUAACCAGGAUAUACAAAUGACAUACACUUGCAAGGCACAAAUCGAAAUGCUUCAUGUGAGAGAUUUUGGAUGGAAAUAUGAGUCAUGUCGAGUUUGCAAGACAAAGCUUGAUGAAGACCAUAUGUGCAAAAAGUGUGGAGUCAUAGAUGAAUUCCCAACUCAAAGUUUUCAUCUUGGAUUUCUUGCGUCUCAUACAAGGAGGCAUGGUAACGAUGUCGUUCCCGGAGCGAUCGAAGAAAAGUAGAGACCAAAUGUAUUCGUACGAUUGUGAAGUGUAGUUCGAUCUUACAACUCCCAUAACAAUCGAGGUAACUAGCGGUUUCAUCUAGUUUAUAGGUUAAUCUUACAAGUAUUUUUGAUAGGAACAUUAGAGUAAAAUUGUGUGUGUUGUGAAACUAUGUGAAUUUUAAAUUUUUAGUAUCAUGCGAAUUAGGGUGGUUUAUAUUACGAAAUUUCUAUAAUUACGUUCGGUAACACACUACUACAAAAACACCUUUAUAAGUCGCCCUUUUAGUGUCGCCUCAAAUUAAUGUGUGACACCAAAAUAUUUAAAGUCCCAUUUUAUAAAACAGGCGACACAUAAAGUUGCUAGCAGAUAUUCCAAUGAGACUAGCGUGUCGCCUG